Molecule: long non-coding RNA, 9117 nt
Filed under: Gallus gallus (chicken)
Lineage: Eukaryota; Metazoa; Chordata; Aves; Galliformes; Phasianidae
Description: lncRNA (ENSGALG00010003094.1)
Source: RNAcentral
CGAGACGAUCCCGCAACAAGGCGAGGAGGAGAAGCGCACAGCGAGUGCUUAAAGUGUCAUUUAAGUGCCGGGCACAGCUGCGCCUCGUCCGGAGCCGAGCGCAACGCCCGCCCCAAAGCCUCUUAAGCUCCUCCGGGGGCUGCCGGGAGCUACGAAGGCGCUCUGCGCAGUCCCUCGCCGGGACGCGAUGAAGGAGGUUGUGUGAUGCUGUUCCUCUGCCCGAGGCGCUGCUGGGGCUGCUUGGAAGCCGAAACCUCGGGGUUCUGUUUAACGUUGUCUGUUGCGUUUGGUUCUUUUAUUCAGGCUGCAGGAGGGCGUCGGGAUCCGCCCCGGCCGGUGAGCCGUACCGAUAGCGAUGGAGGUGGUGAGCGCUCGGCGGUCCUUGGGGGGCUUUCCGCCUGGGGUGAGAGGCUGCCGGGCCCUCACCGUGCUCUUUUUGGGGCCGGCGUAGAGCUACCGCUGGGCUCCCUCGACUUUUCAGAGCCGGGAUUGCAGCGCUGCCUGCUUUCUGUUGUAUUUGGUUUGCUUUUUUUCCCCCCUCAACUUUUUUUUUUUUUAGGGAGUGCUUCAGUUCUUCAGUUCAUUCUGCUCUCAUCAGCGGGAGUGAGCGAGAUGGGGCUGUGCUUCUGCAGCCUCAGCACUGCUGGGAGAGAGGAGCAACACGAAGGGCUGCUAAAACCAGGUGUUUCCCUAUUGCGGCUGGAGCUGCAGCAGGGCCUCUCUUCAUCCCAAACCGGCGAGGUUGUGGAAGUGUUGAGAGUUUGGGAGUCAGUAGGUGAGCUCUCUCCCCUUUGGACUUGGGUAGGGUUGCUGCUGAGCUAUCUCUGUUUCUUCAGGAUCAGCACGGUGCUGCUCUUGGAGGCCAAGGGAGACCUCUGGGUGGCCUCAGCCCCCCAAAAGGGUUUGUAGGUCCUUCAGCUCCUGCCUCCAGCAGCGGGAGCGAGCAGCAGGAUGGGACUGGGUGUUUCCACCUUCCUUAUGUGCAUGACCUCAUUCCCAUCGUGGUGGGUGAACUUGUAUGCCUGGAAUGCUGUUUGUUACGGAUUGCAUGUUUUUUUUCCAGAAGGACAAUCCAGCAGGGUGAUGGAGUUGCUUUUCAGGUGAGAGAGCUGGAAAGGAUUGAGCCCUGCCUAGGGAUGAAUGAACAACUAGAGGAGUGCUUGUGAGCUGUGACUGCUGAGGAUGCUCCUUGACGAUCCUGGAUCCCAGAGGAAAGCGUCUUUGAGGAAGGAUGCCUUCCUGAUCGCAGAGGAGGCGGCAAAGAUCACGUGGACAAAAUUAGUGCCCCCCAGGAAAGUUGUGUGAGGACGGGAGGAUAGCCAGCAUCACGGCAGCCUUCAAAAAGGGAACUUGAAGAGUUUGCUAUGAAGCAGUCAAGGUGGAAUCACUGAGGGGAAAUUGUGCUGCUCCAACCUGGGAGCGUCAGGUCAGAGAAGAGCAGGGGAUGCUGCAAGCCUGACUUCAGUGUUUCUGUUGGCGUUUUUGUAAUGAAGCUUAACAAGUGUGAGAUGGUGACCUGGAUGAAGGGAGAGUCUCUAAUGUCGGUGAGUGAGCGGAUGAUGCGAAGCUGGGAGGAGCAGCGACAUUCAGCGGGACCCCAUGAACUGUGGAGAGCAGGUCAAGCGGAUGGGAAAGUUGUACAUGGGGUCCAAUGGAGGGCAAUGAAGAUGAUGAGGGGCCUGGAGCAUCUCUCUGUGGAGGACUGGAUGAGGAAUCUACUUCUGUUUCACCAAGAGAAGGAUGGAGGCUGCAAAGGAGUGUUUGUUUUUUUGGCAAGGAUCUGCCUGAACAUGAGUGGUUUCAUCAGUGGUGGAAUGGAGGAGGUAAGAGCCCUCAGUUGUGUUGUGUAGGUGUGGAGGCUCCUUUGUCAGAGGUUUGGUGCUGGAACAAGGAUUGCUGUGUGACUGCCUCUCCAGAGGGAGGUGUUUUUCCAGUGGAGUGGAAUUGAUGGAGCAUUCAGAAGUGGUGCCUUUUGGUGGAGCUUCACUUGGGCUGUAGCAGAAGAAUUGGAGCUGACUUAACAGUGUGUGCCCCAAAAAUACUGGGAAUGAAGUUUGCUUCCAUAGUGUGAGAAGCAGGUGAGUAGAUGUCAGUUUUAGAGAAGAAUUACCCGCUUGCAGCAGUUUCUUUUGAAAAGAUUUUCUACUGCAAGUAGAGAUGCUCUGUGUUACCUGUGGAAAUAGGAUGCCUAAGUAUCUGCACUAAAAUAAUGGCUGGACUGAGCUAGCUCAAGUUUUCCUGGUGUAGUGGAUACCUGGCAGUCUCCAACUUGAAACAAAAAGCAAAGAAUCUUGCUUACCUCAGGGAAGAAAUGUAGCGCCUACCAGUUAUUUCUGUGCUUGGGACUUCUUCCCUUGCUGCUGAACUGACUUCUUCUUGGGAGAAGAAAGUGGAGGACGAGGACCGCUUCUGCAGUUGGCCAUUUAGCACUGCAAGUUCUGUAAGGAAAAAAGUGAGACUUAAGUUAAUAAUGAAUAUCUUCACAGGUUGUCUACUUCAGCACUAUGGUGUGUCAGACUUGCUUGACUCACCAAAUGAAACCAGUACUUUUCCAGUGUUUGCAUUGUUGCAGCGGAAUUCCUGGAGAGAAGCGUUGCUUGAGUUUGGAAGGGCUUCUCGAGUGUGAAGGUAGGAGUGCUGUCCUGAGAGCUGAGCGGCGUUGACUCUUGCAAAAAGAUGGUUUCCUUUUUUCAGAUAGGUAAGUCAAACCACUCUCAGCAAACCAAUGGAGAAACCAGAGACUAGUGCAUCUCUAUGGUACCCUUUGGGUUAAGUUAGGGUAAGUUAGGUCCUGUGAACCUCUCUGCCAAAGGGAGACUGAACUCUAACCUGAAUGACAUGCAUCAUAUUUUGCAUUUUUCUUUUAAUUGGAAGAAAUGGAACUAACUUCAGAUUCUGCCUUUGCAUUAGAUGCUUGUAUAAAAACACUGUAUACAGUAUGUAAGACUUGGCAAUUAUUAAUUGGUUUCACUUGCAGUUAGUUCUGCUGCUGUUGCAGUGCAACACCUAGAUAAUUCAGGACAGAAAGUGGAGCUAAUUUACUUACCUGUGACACUGAAGUCAAGUCUUUAGCAAAACAGAGUUUCCAUGAGUUAUUAGGUUAUUUUACUCAUUAGUGCAAGCAGAUAACUACAGGUGAUUAACCUGUUGCUUCUUGUACUAAACAAAACACAUGAAAGCUUCACCUUACAUACAAACUCAAAGAAAUGCCUGUUUCUUCCUUGUUUAUAGAAUCAGAAAGCAGCCUGGGUUGGAAGGAACCUGUGUCUCCAAGCUCUGCACUGCUCUGCCUCAACUUCAGUUGCAUCUCUGUGAGACUCAUCAAAGCCUGGGGAUGACCAGUGUCAAUGACAGUUUGCAUUCUGGUUCUACUCAAUUUUCACAUUUUCAGAUUCAAAGUAACAAUUUCUACACUAGGAGGAACUUAGCUGUGACACCUGGGCACAAAUUACACCUUUGGAGACAAACUUCAAGAUUUGCAAACUUCAAGAUUUGUUUCCUAUAGGUACAGGCCUGAAUCAAACACCCCUUCUGCAUCACGUUGCAGCCUGUUUCCCAAGGUUUCCAGGUGACUCAAACAUUUUUAUCUUCAUUUUUACUGCAGAGUCAGCAGUUAGUUAAUACAUGAACUGAAAUAAAACAAAAAACAACCACCAACUGGAGGGGAAGGUAGAAAACACUCUUGCUGUGAAACAGGCUCCAGGCCAAGAGUGGUUCCCUCUGCUUGGUCCAGUUACAGUUCAGAGGCUCAUUCCUUGGAAGCAAAAUCUUAUAAGUAAACAUGGAGCUGAGCCUCUCUCUGCCCUUUAUCCCCUCCCAUGAAGCCUAUUUUUUUUUAUCCCAUUCAACUCAAAGGCACCCUCAGAACACUGGACUAAAUCUGCCUGUAAUAAAAUAAAUCUAAUUCUGGUCACAUUAAAAUACAUCACAGACCUUCAAAGGAAUAGUGCUAGGCUGCCUAAUGAAAAAUAGAGUGCUUCAAGUGAGAUAAACCAACAUUCUGACCGUAAGCAAGAACAAACUGGGAUCUGGUGUCACAGGAUAUUCCUUCUCUCUGGGUUUUUGCAUAUUAACCAGCAGACAGGUUUGUGGAAGAUGACUUAUUGCUCUCAGUUUUACCACAAGGAAAAUACAUAAUGUUUCUAGCUGAUCGGUAACAUGAAGUUCAACUCUGUCCCAGUACGUUCAUGCAUGGCCUAACAAGUGAAAUUACUUAAAAGAGAGCCCUCAAUGUCAAAAAAGGCUUUACAAAAAUGACUCAGUGAUUUUUCAGCUACUUGCCCUUACUGAGUGCAGAGCCCUCUGUCCCUCUAAGUUUUAGCAGCUCUGUAUGAUUAUUAUUGAAUGGGAACCUCCGUUAUCUCAGUGUUGACUGAGGUACAAAUGCCCAUUGGAGUGACUGAGGGAAAGGGCAGUGAGUGUUUGCUUUGGCUGUUUAGCCAAGCUAGACUUAUGUUAUGCAUCCUGAUUUACAUGUAAUGUGGAGAUGUAACGUGGAUGCCCCAUCCCUGGAGGCGUUCAAGGCCAGGCUGGAUGCGGCUCUGGGCAACCUGGUCUGGUGGUUGGUGACCCCACACAUAGCAGGGGGGUUGGAACUAGAUGAGCAUUGUGGUCCUUUGCAACCCAGACCAUUCUAUGACAAGUGAAUCAAAAAGACUUUAAACAGAGGAAAAUAAAAAAGAGGAAACCGUAGAUGUCACAUACAAACGUCUGAGAAAUAAUCUGAGCAAAAGUUAACAUUUGCUCCUUUUUAUUUUGAGCAAUGUUAAAUAUGGUUUUCCUGCACUUUGCAGUGUCAGCUAACAGCCUGCUAUAUCCUUAGCUCAGCCAUAGCUGGACAAAUCAGUCCCUUUACAGACACCCACACAGUCCAUCUUUCCCCAACCCAUUGGCCACCAGUUCACACACACAAGGAAUCAUCCAGUAGGUACAAUGACCAGUCACCGCUGCAGCUGCUGCUGUGCCUUUGAAGGAAACACAAAGUUACUGCUUGUCUUUCUUCCCCUCCCUCCUUUCUGGAGGCUUCUAGGCUGUAAGCGUGCAGGAGAAAACUGGAACUGCUUAGGCCUCCCCUGCAACAGGUCCGUUUCUGAACAAAGUUAUGAAACCAAGAGAAGAUACGGGCUUCUUCAUCAACUUUUUUAAAACACCAAAGAAAAAUCAUGUUUAAAGGUGAUGCUAUUAGCUGAAGACAACAGAAAAAGGGUGGCAACUUUCCCUAUAGAGAGCUCAAGAUGUGUGUGUCGUCAAUGCUUCCGGGACCCCUCCUGGGCUUCAGCAAGCACGCAGGCCAUGGCUAACAUUUCCAACCCUGAAACCCAGCCCUCCAAGAAAAGAGUAAAUCAAAAUACAUAACGUAGGGUGAUGCAGGGCUACUUCUUUCAUUUCAUCUUCACAGCACAGAGCUCUCUCUGCAAGACAGAUACGCAAGUGUAUUAAGCCCACUGACACCUCUCCAAAAGCUUAUUUGCUGGCUAAUUAGACAGUUGAAAAGAUCAACAGGUCGAUGGAAUUGAGAUAAUGCUAUCCAAUGUAAUUACUACAAUUGCAAUAUUUUAGGAAUUGAAGAACAACUCCGUUCGACCUAUGCCAAAAAGCCUAUAUACAGAAGUCCGUACUUAGGUGGUUAUUUUUCUCUAUCGGUUCAUAAUUGCCUUCUGUUUUUAAUCACAGCUUCUUUCUCCAACUGUUGCAAAGAUGGCACUGUUGUUUUUUCCUGCGUAGCCUGAAGUCCCCAGUGGCUACAGUCCACUUCUCUCCACCGCUGACGUUUAAGGUGCUGACAGCCCCCAAGCGCCCGAGGGAUCCUGCUGUCUUCGGCAAGGUCUCAUUUCAUUUAAUUUCAUAUUUAAAGCUUCCGUGACCUUUUUGAACAUGUAAAUGAUAAAAAUACUUUCACACACGGAUGUAUCGAGCGCCACGUCCACCUAGGCUUGUUAAUAAACCUCGUUGCUCUGUUUCUGCUGGCCCGUGGCUAUAUUAGCUGUCUGCUCGCCUUAUUUGUGAGAUAUAAAUAGCCAGGGACUGCACACUCGCUGUCUAGUUACAUCGAGAUAACAGUGAUUUUAAUACUCUUAAACAAGCCUGUCUCCUGACGCGGGUCUGUCCAGAAUGCUCACUCUUACCUAUCUUCCUUCUUCGUGUUUGAGUGGGAGAUUCGUAAGCAAAAUUUCUCAGCCACCAAACGUGCCAAUAGAAAACAAAAGGGCCACUGAAGGGCGUUUUUGCACUGUUCACACGCUGCUGUUGGAAAGUAAUUCUCCAUACCAUUUCUUAUGUUUGGGCUCAAUAACAUUUCAUACCCGUACCGCACAGUGGUUCUGACCCAGUCACGCUGCAUUGGCUUGAAUCAGAAAGUCCCAGACUCAUCUCAGGGCUAUGCUAUAUCAUUCUUACUGCAAAUUGAAGAUAGCUGGUACUCCCUUCCCAAAAGGCCUCGAGCCUCAACACAGUAAUGCCUUACAGUGAAGUAAAGCAGAGAGAGGCAGAGAACUACACUCAGUAAGGGAUUGAACUAACAACAGAAUUUAAACAGGAUUUAGGUGAGGAUUGGCAUCUAAAUAAACAGUUGUGAGCUAAAGACCCUUGGCUCUCAGGGCAUCUCCUUCUGUGACCGAAAAGGUCUCUAGGGCCGCUGUGAGGGUACAGAGGGAGAACUGCAUCCUGGCUUCCCAGCAUCUAUUUUUCUGCUGAACUAAGUGCACGUGCCCUGUAAGGCACGCCCAGAGCACGCUGGACACCCUGCCUUAGCCCCAGGUCGCGCCACUUGUUCAGGUAUCGUUUGGGUAACUGAUCUUUCAGUGCUAAAUGCCGACUACAGCAUCCUCAGAGAGAAGCUCUCUCUCUUGGAGAAGCUGAUAGCCCUAAGCACUGCAUUACAGAGCACUGAGAGUCCCCCACAGGAACAUGCUGCCCCUGGAGGACGGCUAGUCUAGUCAGGACCUAAUGCAAACCAUGGAAGUACAGGUAUCUGUGGAAUAACAUACCACUUUGGCUGCGUACAAAAUGAGAUACAAUGAGUAAGUUCAUCAAGGACAUUAUAGCCUCUGGAGAAAUCCUUUACAAUAGCUGCGAUGAGUAACAUCUCACUCCAUGACUCUGUUGACUUCCAUCUUCCCCUAUAGUUACAUGGAUUACCCUGGAAGCAAUGCCUCCUCUUUAUUUCUACAGAAACUACAGUGAAUAAAAAGAGCACAAGAACACUAUUUGAUAGUGUUUUGUGGCUGAGAACUUGCUCUGCUUUUCAACAUAGUCACCGCUGCUAGCUAUAGACUUUGUCGCAUGGCUAUAUCUAAGUAUGCACGCAUUAUUACGUACUUGUGAAAACUUUUCCACAUAGCUGUGCUGUAAUUUGCAUUCACAUCUUACAUUUAUAUCCGUAAGAGGACUUCUGCCGGGCACGGGUGAGCACCGUUGGACUAUACAAUGCUUGAUAGCUGGGGGCAACAGUGCAGUGGCAACAACAGAGAAGUGAGGUGCAGCAGCAGCGGAUGCAGAAAAGAAAGAAACUCCUUACCUUUACAAGACCUGUAAAAUCCUCAAGAGGUGCAGAGAGCUCUAGAAGACAGUCUUUCUCCUCCCCCUGCUGGCCCUUAAAUGAGGUCUGGGAAGGGGUGGAUCCUGGCUCCACCCCUUCUAAUUGGCUGCAUUGCGUUCACCUGGGUUGGCCCUGGCUUGGCCCUGCCUUCCACCAGGUGCUCAAUCACUGCUUCGGACCGUGACUUGAUGUCUCUUAUGCAGACAUCAAUAAAAUCUCUGACUUGAUUUUUGGCUACGUAAGGAACUGUACGUCAGAGUCGUGGUUUUCUUCCAGUUCCUCUCUACUGAGUUCACUGCUUCUUCUUUACUUGUUAUUCAGUGCUUGCUGUCUUCCCAUCAGCAGCCGUCCACCUUCGAAGCGAUUGGUGUCAGAUGUCAUUUCUCAUGGCCGGUUUCCCUGGCUUUCGCUAAUGCAAACUGAUGUACAACAUUUGCACUUUGGAGCGGUUCGAAGCAGUGAUUUCCAUUUUCAUACCCUCGUGCGCUUCGUUCAGUUAUUUCUUCUGCAGUACUUGUUGCCCUCCUCGCACUGAAAAAAAAAGUGAAGCAGAACUUCGAUUAGGUCUAUGCGAGUUAUCCUCCAGCCUGUAAAAUAGCCUUCCUGCACCAUAAUCCAUUUUCUUUGCUUCUGAUAGCUACCUGUCCAAACAAGUCCUUGCUGUUUGUAUUAAAGUCCGUGCCCACGUGCCCAAUGCUUUCUGAAAAAUGACUUCCGUUCUCAUUUUGUUUCCUUACAUAAAAGCGCCUAGGAUCCAUUCCUCAAAAGCUAUGCUUUUUCUCCAUGCUACUUACUAACAUAAUGCUCCUCCCGGUCAGCUCAGGAACCUUCCCUGGCACUCUGUGGACGCACGGUUUGCCACUCAGGUUUUUCACAGGGUGCAUAAUCGUGGUGUAAUUCCUGUGUUUCGUGACUCACAGCGCGCUCUAAACUGAAGUAACUCAGCAGGCUUCAAGAGAAGCACGGUUUUAUGGUCAGUCAGGUCCGACUAAACUGUUGCGUGCAUUUCAGAGCAUCCUACAGAAUAUUUGUAUUGUAUUCUAAAGAAUACAAGUAAUAUACCUAUUAGCCUGCCCAGAAACAUUCCUGGGGCAGCUGGGGAGAAAAACAGUGAUGUGCCGUUUAGUGGCCUUGAAGCGGGAUGCGCGCAAGGGUCUCCUCUGGGGGGUAUCAAACGCAAGGAUAUAGUAUUGCAUUUAUUGUUGGGCUCAGAUCUCCAUUGGCCUGAGGUUCUUGACUCGCGUAUGUUUGCACGAGCGGGUUUUUCACGAGCCUAUUCCUGCCUGCCCAGAUAUUUUUCCGUGGCACGUCAUAUUCUUUUGUUUUCCCCCGCUCAGAAGUGAAGUCUCUGUCAGCAGGGCUCUUCCUGUCUUUCUCGCCAGCUGCCUUCAAACAGAGAUUUUAACCGAUACUUCAGACGUUCAGGGUGGGUAUUCCCUUUCUCAUCCCUCUGGAAACUCGCCGAAGCCGCCGCUGUUUUAUUUGCCAAUACUGGAGGCCUAUUUUUAUAGCCAGAGCUCAAGGUGUGUCUAAACCAGGCCUUAAAUUUUUGGACCGAUCUUGACAGCUCGUUGUUAAAG